GAUGAACGCUGGCGGCGUGCCUAACACAUGCAAGUCGAACGGAGAUUACGGACGGAAGUUUUCGGAUGGAAGACUGUAAUUCUUAGUGGCGGACGGGUGAGUAACGCGUGGGCAACCUGCCCUAUACAGGGGGAUAGCAGCUGGAAACGGCUGGUAAGACCGCAUAAGUCGGUUAAAUCGCAUGAUUUGAUCGGGAAAUGAGCAAUCAGGUAUAGGAUGGGCCCGCGUCCGAUUAGCCAGUUGGCAGGGUAAAAGCCUACCAAAGCGACGAUCGGUAGCCGGACUGAGAGGUCGGACGGCCACAUUGGGACUGAGACACGGCCCAAACUCCUACGGGAAGCAGCAGUGGGGGAUAUUGCACAAUGGAGGAAACUCUGAUGCAGCGACGCCGCGUGAGUGAAGAAGUAUUUCGGUAUGUAAAGCUCUAUCAGCAGGGAAGAUGAUGACGGUACCUAACUAAGAAGCCCCGGCUAACUACGUG
RNAcentral lists this ribosomal RNA (481 nucleotides) under uncultured bacterium. RNAcentral's name for it is "partial 16S ribosomal RNA". It matches the Rfam family "Bacterial small subunit ribosomal RNA", at positions 28 to 507 of the family's 1533-position model. The record is from RNAcentral.